CCUGGAUCUCCUGGGGCUUGUCCGGGAUGACGAAGGCCAGGACGAACUUCAGCGCCAGCAGCGCGUGCUGGGAACAAGAAGAAAAGCGCACGUGGCUCCUUCUGCCUCCUCGCCCAAAGCGCAGCCCGAGUCCUCUCUCCCCCAGGAAGACCCCUCCCCUUUAUCCCCCCCCAUUUGGAAGCAGUCUCUUCUCUUUCCCCGCGCCCCCGAGGGCUGCGUGGCUGUUGGCAGCCGCCCCACUAACAGAUGCUUGGGAGUAGUUGGGGCUACACGGACUCCUCUCCCCGGGAGCAACGGCAUCCCCAGGAGCCUGUCUAGUCAACAGCUUAAGAGAAUGUCUAUAGUCUCAAAGGGGCCCAUCCAACGUCAUCAUCUGAAAUCAAGAAACCAAAUCAAUAAAAGACUAGAUGAAGCAAAGUCAAGGCUGCAAUAUUCUACGUUUUGUUCUCUGAGAGGAAAGCUUCUCAAUGGAUAACUAGUGCAAACGAUUAUCUUCUUCAUUAAAUUUGAUGACUUGUAACAUUUUUAAUUGGUCCAACAAGAAGUUUUCAUUAAGAGAAGUAGAUGUUAAGUAAUUUGGCUUUCUAGCACAUACGUGCUAAAAAGGAAAAAUGGAUCCCUGAAGACUAAGUUAAAGAAACUAAUAAAAACGAACAUUAUUUCAUUAAGAAGAUGGUGUUAUUGUUUACUAUCAAGAUACCAACUGUAAUUUGAAAUUACUUUUAAUAUCUUCUUGGACUUGGAUGGAAUUGUCUUAGCUGACAAAUAUAUUUGGGUCUUUCUUAUUUAUAGAAAUGUAUAUCUAUACUAAAGAUAAAUCCA
Antechinus flavipes (yellow-footed antechinus) is the source of this 822-nucleotide long non-coding RNA. RefSeq lists it as uncharacterized. The transcript has 3 exons. Lineage: Eukaryota; Metazoa; Chordata; Mammalia; Dasyuromorphia; Dasyuridae. The record is from RefSeq and is a predicted model, not a curated record.